AAGUCGUAACAAGGUAUCCGUUGGUGAACCAGCGGAUGGAUCAUUACCUGAACCCAAAAUACGCUAAUGUUGGUGUGGUUAACAUGUUGUUAACCUCUGGCGUGGUUGGUUAAUCAACCUGCUAGUACUUGUAGUGUGCAAUGAAGUGGUGUUGAAGCCACGUCGCACGCUUGAUGAGUGAAGGAAUUGCUGGAACGGACUCUUGUGAGUCCAGGCGAGAUGCCUCCUCAAUCCCUGUGACUGCCAUUGACUUGACUGAAGCGAUUGUCUCAAAAAUGACAACUGCUGGCCGUGGAUCACUUGGCUGACG
Molecule: unclassified non-coding RNA, 310 nt
Filed under: fungal sp.
Lineage: Eukaryota; Fungi
Description: partial internal transcribed spacer region
Rfam family: Eukaryotic small subunit ribosomal RNA (bases 1-46)
Source: RNAcentral